This 467-nucleotide ribosomal RNA is filed under the name uncultured bacterium. Its description in RNAcentral is "partial 16S ribosomal RNA". It matches the Rfam family "Bacterial small subunit ribosomal RNA", at positions 28 to 507 of the family's 1533-position model. The record is from RNAcentral.
GAUGAACGCUGGCGGCGUGCUUAACACAUGCAAGUCGAACGGUGAAGCAGAGCUUGCUCUGUGGAUCAGUGGCGAACGGGUGAGUAACACGUGAGCAACCUGCCCCUGACUCUGGGAUAAGCGCUGGAAACGGCGUCUAAUACUGGAUAUGAGCUGCGACCGCAUGGUCAGCAGUUGGAAAGAUUUUUCGGUCUGGGAUGGGCUCACGGCCUAUCAGCUUGUUGGUGAGGUAAUGGCUCACCAAGGCGUCGCCGGGUAGCCGGCCUGAGAGGGUGACCGGCCACACUGGGACUGAGACACGGCCCAGACUCCUACGGGAGGCAGCAGUGGGGAAUAUUGCACAAUGGGCGAAAGCCUGAUGCAGCAACGCCGCGUGAGGGAUGACGGCCUUCGGGUUGUAAACCUCUUUUAGCAGGGAAGAAGCGAAAGUGACGGUACCUGCAGAAAAAGCGCCGGCUAACUACGUG